AUACUCUGGAUUCUCCUCAAAUCAUUUAAAUAUUUCGCCUUUUACUAAAAAUUUCUGCGGAGAGGAACAAUUCUUAGUCUUUGACCAAUUUUUUGAGGCCUUGCAUUUGCAGGGCU
This is a small nuclear RNA of Nycticebus coucang (slow loris), 116 nucleotides long. RefSeq annotates it as U5 spliceosomal RNA. The transcript has a single exon. The record is from RefSeq and is a predicted model, not a curated record. Lineage: Eukaryota; Metazoa; Chordata; Mammalia; Primates; Lorisidae.